This 159-nucleotide ribosomal RNA is filed under the name Xanthoconium affine. RNAcentral's name for it is "5.8S ribosomal RNA". It matches the Rfam family "5.8S ribosomal RNA". From Rfam's summary of the family: 5.8S ribosomal RNA (5.8S rRNA) is a component of the large subunit of the eukaryotic ribosome. It is transcribed by RNA polymerase I as part of the 45S precursor that also contains 18S and 28S rRNA. The record is from RNAcentral. Lineage: Eukaryota; Fungi; Basidiomycota; Agaricomycetes; Boletales; Boletaceae.
CAACUUUCAGCAACGGAUCUCUUGGCUCUCGCAUCGAUGAAGAACGCAGCGAAUUGCGAUAAGUAAUGUGAAUUGCAGAUUUCCAGUGAAUCAUCGAAUCUUUGAACGCACCUUGCGCUCCUUGGCAUUCCGAGGAGCAUGCCUGUUUGAGUGUCAUUG